RNAcentral lists this ribosomal RNA (420 nucleotides) under uncultured bacterium. Its description in RNAcentral is "bacterial SSU rRNA". It matches the Rfam family "Bacterial small subunit ribosomal RNA", at positions 405 to 842 of the family's 1533-position model. The record is from RNAcentral.
GUGAAGAAGUAUCUCGGUACGUAAAGCUCUAUCAGCAGGGAAGAAAAUGACGGUACCUGACUAAGAAGCCCCGGCUAACUACGUGCCAGCAGCCGCGGUAAUACGUAGGGGGCAAGCGUUAUCCGGAUUUACUGGGUGUAAAGGGAGCGUAGACGGCGACGCAAGUCUGGAGUGAAAGCCCGGGGCCCAACCCCGGGGCUGCUUUGGAAACUGUGCUGCUGGAGUGCAGGAGAGGUAAGUGGAAUUCCUAGUGUAGCGGUGAAAUGCGUAGAUAUUAGGAGGAACACCAGUGGCGAAGGCGGCUUACUGGACUGUAACUGACGUUGAGGCUCGAAAGCGUGGGGAGCAAACAGGAUUAGAUACCCUGGUAGUCCACGCCGUAAACGAUGAGUGCUAGGUGUCGGGGGGCAAAGCCCUUCG